This 497-nucleotide ribosomal RNA is filed under the name uncultured bacterium. RNAcentral describes it as "partial 16S ribosomal RNA". It matches the Rfam family "Bacterial small subunit ribosomal RNA", at positions 28 to 507 of the family's 1533-position model. The record is from RNAcentral.
GAUGAACGCUGGCGGCGUGCCUAGCACAUGCAAGUCGAGCGAACAGAUGAGGAGCUUGCUCCUCUUCAGUUACCGGCGGACGAGUGAUUAACACGUGGAUAACCUACCUAUCAGACUGGGAUAACUUCGCGAACCCGGAGCUAGUACCGGUCAAUAUAUAGAACCUCAUGGUUCUAUAGUUCUAGACGUUUUAGCUGACCCUUGUAGAUUGAUCCGCGCUGCAUUAGCUAGUUGCUAAGGUAACGGCUUACCAAGGCAACGAUCCGUAGCCGACCUGAGAGGCUGAUCGGCCACACUGGAACUGAGACACGGUCCAGACUCCUACGGGAGGCAGCAGUAGGGAAUCUUCCGCAAUGGGCGAAAGCAUGACGGAGCAGCGCCGCGUGAGUGACGAAGGUCUUCGGAGCGUAAAGCACUGUGAAUAGGGAGGAACGACAGUGUAAGUAACAAUAGAUGUAUUGACGUUACCAAGACAAAAAGCAACGGCUAACUACGUG